Molecule: long non-coding RNA, 245 nt
Filed under: Mytilus galloprovincialis (Mediterranean mussel)
Lineage: Eukaryota; Metazoa; Mollusca; Bivalvia; Mytilida; Mytilidae
Source: RNAcentral
CUUUUCAAUCAUGUUAUUUUUGUAAUAUUGAGCUCUUUAAGUUUGACAUGAUAAAGUGAAAAUAUUAUGCCUGAAUGAAAUAUUAUUGAAAUCUCAUUAUUAAAGGAAUGUCACAAAGGAAGACAUGAAGACGGAAGAUUGUCUUCAUAAAAUGAGGAUAAUAAUUACACAGUUAACGUAACAAACCAAGAAGUCAUAAUUGCCAAACGUAAUAAAUGGCAAAUAUAGACGGAAUUAUUGACCCA